GUGCCAGCCGCCGCGGUAAUACGGAGGGUGCAAACGUUGCUCGGAAUCAUUGGGCGUAAAGCGCACGUAGGCGGUCGAGUAAGUCGGGUGUGAAAGCCCUGGGCUUAACCCAGGAAGUGCAAACGAAACUACUCGACUUGAGUACUGAAGAGGGUCGCGGAAUUCCCGGUGUAGAGGUGAAAUUCGUAGAUAUCGGGAGGAACACCAGUGGCGAAGGCGGCGACCUGGGAAGAUACUGACGCUGAGGUGCGAAAGCGUGGGGAGCAAACAGGAUUAGAUACCCCGGUAGUCC
RNAcentral lists this ribosomal RNA (292 nucleotides) under uncultured bacterium. RNAcentral describes it as "partial 16S ribosomal RNA". It matches the Rfam family "Bacterial small subunit ribosomal RNA", at positions 505 to 796 of the family's 1533-position model. The record is from RNAcentral.